UGCUAUCAUGUCGUCGUCAUUGUCCGAAGACACAUUUAGUUUCGGGACAAUAACUUUAGUUUUAGUGAAUGGAUUUUAUAGAAAUUUACCAGAAGGUUCAUUACUACUGAUGGAAGGUUGGGAUUGAUUGUUUGGGUUAUGGUCCCAAUAGUUUUGGAAUUGGGGCCAAAAAGGGGGCCCAAAAAAAGCAUUUUUGUAGUUUUCAAACAAUAACUUGUGUUUAAGUGCAUGAAUCUCUCUGAAAUUAUACCACAAAUUUCCAUACCAUGAAGGGAUAGUAAAUAUUGAUUUUUGGGGCUAUGGUCCCAAUAGUUUUGGAAUUGGGGGCCAAAAAGGGGGCCCAAAAAAGCAUUUUUGUAGUUUUCAAACAAUAACUUGUGUUUAACAUGUUUAAGUGUAUGAAUCUCUCUGAAAUUAUACCACAAAUUUCCAUACAAAGAAGGGAUAGUUAGUUCUGACUUUGGGGGAUUAAGCUUCAAAAAAUUUGGAAUUAGGGACAAAAAAAGGGGGAAACUAGGUUUUUCUGGACAAUUAAGACAAUUUAAAAGCAGUGUAAGGGAGGUAAUUCAAAAAUAUUUAACAUACAAUGUUGGGUGUAUGUUCUUAUUUACUUCCCUUACUCUACUUGAAAAUAAUGUAUAAAGAAUGUCAGGUUUUGGACUUAUUGCCAAAAAAAUGGGGGUGUGGUAGUUUUCAAAUUUUUUCCCCCAAAUUUUUUUAAAGUUUGAAGAAGAAAUCUUUAAUUGCACAAUAUUGUGCAAUAGAUUUGUAAGAUCUUGACAUUUGUUUUGUGUAAUAAACUCAUAUUAUGUCAAAAAUUUAUUCACAAUCCAAAUUCAGAGCUGUAUCAAGCUUGAAUGUUUUGUCCAUGCAUUUUUGUACUUGCCCCAACUAUUCAGGGUUUGACCUCUGCGGUCGUAUAAAGCUGCGCCCAGCAGAGCACUUGGUUGUUUUUAUAAAAACUUUUUAUAAAAAUUGAGAGUUGAUUGC
Molecule: long non-coding RNA, 990 nt
Filed under: Mytilus galloprovincialis (Mediterranean mussel)
Lineage: Eukaryota; Metazoa; Mollusca; Bivalvia; Mytilida; Mytilidae
Source: RNAcentral